RNAcentral lists this ribosomal RNA (424 nucleotides) under uncultured Chryseobacterium sp. RNAcentral's name for it is "bacterial SSU rRNA". It matches the Rfam family "Bacterial small subunit ribosomal RNA", at positions 355 to 776 of the family's 1533-position model. The record is from RNAcentral. Lineage: Bacteria; Pseudomonadati; Bacteroidota; Flavobacteriia; Flavobacteriales; Weeksellaceae.
UGAGGAAUAUUGGACAAUGGGUGAGAGCCUGAUCCAGCCAUCCCGCGUGAAGGAAGACGGUCCUAUGGAUUGUAAACUUCUUUUGUACAGGGAUAAACCUACCCUCGUGAGGGUAGCUGAAGGUACUGUACGAAUAAGCACCGGCUAACUCCGUGCCAGCAGCCGCGGUAAUACGGAGGGUGCAAGCGUUAUCCGGAUUUAUUGGGUUUAAAGGGUCCGUAGGCGGACUUGUAAGUCAGUGGUGAAAUCUCAUAGCUUAACUAUGAAACUGCCAUUGAUACUGCAGGUCUUGAGUAAAUUUGAAGUGGCUGGAAUAAGUAGUGUAGCGGUGAAAUGCAUAGAUAUUACUUAGAACACCAAUUGCGAAGGCAGGUCACUAAGAUUUAACUGACGCUGAUGGACGAAAGCGUGGGUAGCGAACAGG